Molecule: long non-coding RNA, 1196 nt
Organism: Gasterosteus aculeatus aculeatus (three-spined stickleback)
Lineage: Eukaryota; Metazoa; Chordata; Actinopteri; Perciformes; Gasterosteidae
Source: Ensembl
GAGGACGAGCCGUUCUCAGCCCGCCUCACGCUGCGGCUCUCAGAGUAAUCGCAGCACCUUGGACGGGGCACAAGGGCUCACGCUCGCCCGACUCCUCUGUGGCGUGUGCGUUCAUCACCCUGCUCUCUCGCAAGUGGCGCUUCCAUCCCUCCGGCUCCUCCGCAGGAUCGACUUCACAGCGACAGACGUUGUGCCGAGGCCUUGAGACACGUUUGAGGUUCUUUUAAAGAAUCUCUGUGAACAAAAGUGAAACCUGCUUGUCUCUCUUGUUUCUCUCCGACUAUUUUCGUCGUAAAUGACACACUCAGCGUAAUGAUUCAGAGGUCAAGGCUCCUUUUCGUCUCGUAUUUACGGAGUUGGCUCUCAUGCAUAAAUGCAGCAGCUGGCUUAUUAACGAUCCCACGAUGACAAUGACUCAUCCGCCCCGUCUUCCACACAAGCAGGUCGCAUACGUUUGAACCUACUUGUAAUACAAAUAUGUUCAACAUAUUGCAGUAAUGAUGAUGCGGUGCACUGCAUGAGGUCGCGGGGGAAUGAACACACGCGGUUGUUGCUGCGUGGUAGAAUUCAUCCGUUAGACGAGUCUCGUGGUCAGAUUCAGAUUUGGAAUAAAAGCAGUCGUGCUUUUUGAGAUUCCUGUGAUGUUUAAAAAGGAAGGUCAGCGUUGGAUUACGGCGACAUUUUAUUCAUUCAGCUGCCACUCUGAAGCCUCGUGGUGCUGUUUAUCACCCAGCAAUGAACUUUGUGACAGCGGAUGAUUGCGACACUGAUCAUUGUUUGCUGAGGUUGGGUCUCUGUCUGUAUUUACUCAAAGGGCCCUCACUCUCUUUUUACUCACUUGCAUUGAUUCGUUGUUGUCUGUUAAUCUUUGCCCUCGUCGAACAGGCUCAAAUGAUUCAAUGUCGGAGGUGACGGCUUUUUAAUGGGCCUGAAAAAUCCAUUUCUCAUUGAGCUCCUGCAGUAUGAAAUAAUAUGCAGAACAAUCUGAAGCUUUUCUAAUUCUAUUCUGGUUGUUCAAUCCUGUUGAUUUUUGGGGAAAAUAAAAUUGUUUUAAAAAAAAAUGUCCAAACAUGCAUGUGGAAAACUGUCAUGGGAACAAAGUAGAAAAAUAUUAGGUUAAAAAAAAAGUGGUAUCUUUGGUUGAAAUUAUAUUUGAAAAGAAAAAUAUUAGGUCAAAAAUGUAUUUAAUUAAAAAA